RNAcentral lists this ribosomal RNA (1385 nucleotides) under Phialemonium inflatum. RNAcentral's name for it is "SSU rRNA". It matches the Rfam family "Eukaryotic small subunit ribosomal RNA", at positions 52 to 1471 of the family's 1831-position model. Lineage: Eukaryota; Fungi; Ascomycota; Sordariomycetes; Cephalothecales; Cephalothecaceae. The record is from RNAcentral.
UGCAUGUCUAAGUAUAAGCAAUUAUACGGCGAAACUGCGAAUGGCUCAUUAAAUCAGUUAUUGUUUAUUUGAUAGCACCUUACUACAUGGAUAACCGUGGUAAUUCUAGAGCUAAUACAUGCUAAAAAUCCCGACUUCGGAAGGGAUGUAUUUAUUAGAUUAAAAACCAAUGCCCCUCGGGGCUUUCUGGUGAUUCAUGAUAACUUCUCGAAUCGCACGGCCUUGCGCUGGCGAUGGUUCAUUCAAAUUUCUGCCCUAUCAACUUUCGACGGCUGGGUCUUGGCCAGCCAUGGUGACAACGGGUAACGGAGGGUUAGGGCUCGACCCCGGAGAAGGAGCCUGAGAAACGGCUACUACGUCCAAGGAAGGCAGCAGGCGCGCAAAUUAACCAAUCCCGACUCGGGGAGUUAGUGACAAUACAUACUGAUACAGGGCUCUUUUGGGUCUUGUAAUCGGAAUGAGUACAAUUUAAACCCCUUAACGAGGAACAAUUGGAGGGCAAGUCUGGUGCCAGCAGCCGCGGUAAUUCCAGCUCCAAUAGCGUAUAUUAAAGUUGUUGCAGUUAAAAAGCUCGUAGUUGAACCUUGGGCCUGGCUGGCCGGUCCGCCUCACCGCGUGCACUGGUCCGGCCGGGCCUUUCCCUCUGGGGAACCUCAUGCCCUUCACUGGGUGUGCUGGGGAACCAGGACUUUUACUUUGAACAAAUCAGAUCGCUUAAAGAAGGCCUAUGCUCGAAUAUAUUAGCAUGGAAUAAUAGAAUAGGACGUGUGGUUCUAUUUUGUUGGUUUCUAGGACCGCCGUAAUGAUUAAUAGGGACAGUCGGGGGCAUCAGUAUUCAAUUGUCAGAGGUGAAAUUCUUGGAUUUAUUGAAGACUAACUACUGCGAAAGCAUUUGCCAAGGAUGUUUUCAUUAAUCAGGAACGAAAGUUAGGGGAUCGAAGACGAUCAGAUACCGUCGUAGUCUUAACCAUAAACUAUGCCGACUAGGGAUCGGACGAUGUUAUUCAUUGACUCGUUCGGCACCUUACACGAAAGUAAAGUUUUUGGGUUCUGGGGGGAGUAUGGUCGCAAGGCUGAAACUUAAAGAAAUUGACGGAAGGGCACCACCAGGGGUGGAGCCUGCGGCUUAAUUUGACUCAACACGGGGAAACUCACCAGGUCCAGACACAAGUAGGAUUGACAGAUUGAGAGCUCUUUCUUGAUUUUGUGGGUGGUGGUGCAUGGCCGUUCUUAGUUGGUGGAGUGAUUUGUCUGCUUAAUUGCGAUAACGAACGAGACCUUAACCUGCUAAAUAGCCCGCGUUGCCUUGGCAGCGCGCUGGCUUCUUAGAGGGACUAUCGGCUCAAGCCGAUGGAAGUUUGAGGCAAUAACAGGUCUGGAAUGCA